Molecule: long non-coding RNA, 407 nt
Organism: Hermetia illucens (black soldier fly)
Lineage: Eukaryota; Metazoa; Arthropoda; Insecta; Diptera; Stratiomyidae
Exons: 2
Source: RefSeq, a predicted model, not a curated record
AAUCAAUGAAAAGGUGGAAGAUUUUUCUAUAAAUAAACCUGGGGAAACCGUGCCUAUCUUGGUAAUUUCGCUCAGUAAUCUUCAACCAGUCUCACGUGACGCAACUGCAUUCUCCCAUCGACCAAGUCGUUAGGUAUAUAUAUAUUUAAUUAUGAUGCUGGAAAUUCUCAAAAUAGUGACGUGCGAGUGUAACACUUCUUUGAAGAGAUCGAUUGACUCUGCUUCUUGCUCUUCUCAGGAGGAGUGUUAACAACUCAUUCAAAUUCGAACAUGUCGUACUCAGGAAAGCAUAUAAAUCUACUAAGGAACCUGCACGAUAUGCUGAUGAAUGAGUGUGAAUGGUGAUGAUUAAUGAUGAGUCGCUUGUUCAGUUGAAUAAUUGACACAAAUAAAGUAUUCUUGAAAUA